Molecule: ribosomal RNA, 253 nt
Filed under: uncultured bacterium
Lineage: Bacteria
Description: partial 16S ribosomal RNA
Rfam family: Bacterial small subunit ribosomal RNA
Source: RNAcentral
UACGUAGGGGGCAAGCGUUGUCCGGAAUCAUUGGGCGUAAAGCGCGUGUAAGCGGUUCGGUAAGUCUGCUGUGAAAGUCCAGGGCUCAACCCUGGGAUGCCGGUGGAUACUGUCGGACUAGAGUACGGAAGAGGCGAGUGGAAUUCCCGGUGUAGCGGUGAAAUGCGCAGAUAUCAGGAGGGACACCUAUUGCGAAGGCAGCUCGCUGGGACGCAACUGACGCUGAGACGCGAAAGCGUGGGGAGCAAACAGG